This 1657-nucleotide ribosomal RNA is filed under the name Gymnothorax miliaris (goldentail moray). Its description in RNAcentral is "16S ribosomal RNA". It matches the Rfam family "Bacterial large subunit ribosomal RNA". Lineage: Eukaryota; Metazoa; Chordata; Actinopteri; Anguilliformes; Muraenidae. The record is from RNAcentral.
GCCAAACAGCUAGCCUGAACUCAUCCAUAACCAAAAAGUAUAAAUAAAAAAGCCAUUUUAACGUACUAAAACAUUUUACCAUCCUAGUAUAGGCGAUAGAAAAGACCUUCAGAGCAAUACAGAAAGUACCGCAAGGGAAAGCUGAAAAAGAAGUGAAACAACCCAAGGAAGCAAGAAAAAGCAGAGAUUCAACCUCGUACCUUUUGCAUCAUGAUCUAGCAAGAAAGCCCAAGCGAAGAGAGCUUAAGUUUGACCCCCCGAAACCAGGGGAGCUACUUCGGAGCAGCCCAAAGGGGCAAACCCGUCUCUGUGGCAAAAGAGUGGGAAGACUCCUCAGUAGAGGUGACAAGCCUAACGAACCUGGUGAUAGCUGGUUGCUCAGGAAAUGAAUAUAAGUUCAGCACCAUGCAGUUCUAAACCCCUACACACAAGAGAAGAAGCAAAGCAUGGUAGUUAGUCGAAAGGGGUACAGCCCUUUCGACAGAGGACACAACCUUAAUGAGGAGGAGAAGGACCUAAACCCAAGGAGCCUCCCUCAGUGGGCCUAAAAGCAGCCACCUGUAGAAAUAGCGUUAUAGCUUAAGAAAGACACGACCAACAAUAACAGUAAACCAAACCCAACCCCCUUAAAAUACUGAGCCCCCCUAUAAGAAUAGGGAAGAUAAUGCUAGAAUUAGUAAUAAGAGGGACAUGCCCCUCUCCAAGCACAAGUGUGAGUCAGGCAGAACUAAUCACUGACAACUAACGGACCCAACAGAGGGGAUAGCAAAGGAUAAAAAUGAACAAGCAAACCACGCCCCAACCGCCGUCAACCCAACACAGGAGUGCAUCAAGGAAAGACUAAAAGGUGGAGAAGGAACUCGGCAAAAUAUGGACCCCGCCUGUUUACCAAAAACAUCGCCUCUUGCAAACAUUGAAGUAUUAGAGGUCCCGCCUGCCCUGUGACAGCAGUGUUUAACGGCCGCGGUAUUUUAACCGCGCGAAGGUAGCGUAAUCACUUGUCUUUUAAAUGGAGACCUGUAUGAAUGGCAUAACGAGGGUCUGACUGUCUCCUACACCUAGUCAAUGAAAUUGAUCUGCCCGUGCAGAAGCGGGCAUACCUACAUAAGACGAGAAGACCCUAUGGAGCUUUAGGUAAAUGAUCAAGCGAAACAAGUCACGGCCAUAGUAAAGGCCUAGAAAAACAAGAACUAAUGAUCAAGAUGCCUUCGGUUGGGGCGACCAUGGAGGAAACAAAAGCCUCCAAGUGGAAAGGGAAAACCCUUGAACCAAGAGAGACACCUCGAAGUAACAGAAUUUGUGACCAAAUAUGACCCAGGAUUUUAACCUGAUCAACGAACCCAGUUACCCUAGGGAUAACAGCGCAAUCCUCUCCCAGAGUCCCUAUCGACGAGGGGGUUUACGACCUCGAUGUUGGAUCAGGGCAUCCUAAUGGUGCAGCCGCUAUUAAGGGUUCGUUUGUUCAACGAUUAACAGUCCUACGUGAUCUGAGUUCAGACCGGAGUAAUCCAGGUCGGUUUCUAUCUAUGAUCUCGCUUACCCCUAGUACGAAAGGACCGGAGUAAGGGGGCCUACAAAUAAACAAGCCCCACCUCAACCCGCUGAAACAAUAUAAAAUGGAUAAUGAGGAAGACAAACCCGCCAAAGAUAAUGGCAC